AUUAAAGUUGUUGUUUGCUGUCCUGGUUAAUGUUAUAAAUUAAUGUCGAUUGUUACAGAGUCUGUUGUGCAAGUGUUUCAACUGUGAUGGAUAGAACUGGGAAAGAAAUGUUCUUGCUUGUCAAUUAGUAAUUUCAUAUUUCGAGAGAAUGGAUGGGAAUAUGCGUUACGUACCUUGGAGAGCAGCGAGUGAAGGAUCAAGGGUUGAAUUAGUGUGUGACAUAGCAAAAUCAUAUCAUCACAGCUCCAUGCAAUUCAGAAUGUGUCACUUGAACAUGUUAAGGCAAUUGAAUAGUAAAUGGAGUAAUGGAAACCAUCUACAAAGAGACUGGUGCAGUUAGUACUUUGUGUUGGAGUGCAAAAAAUAAAAGCUGUUGACUGCAAGCUGGUAAGAGCACUGGAUUGACAGAUUUUUCCAGGUUUCAAGGUACUUAUUACUGGACAAGUGGAUUGUUACAGAGGCACCGUCAUGUUGGAAGAACACAAUUUACAGCUAAUUGGUGAAGCUGAUUCGCUGCUUAUAUCAAAUGCACCAAAGAAUGUUUUGGCAAGGACACUGACCAACCAACAAAUCUUAGGCAAAGAAAUGAGGCAGCAUUCCUUGUUGAAGAUGAUGACAGUGACACCAUUUUUGUGCAGGAAGUAGGUUCACAAUUGAGUCAGCUGGAAGAACAACAGCAAAGGUUGGAACAACACUCAGAAAAUGCUAGAAAUGUUAACGACAGGCCAUGAGAGGAAAUACACCCAUUUGAAGAUGAGUACCAGAGAGAAGUGGAGAUGAUGGACAUGGAAGAUGAUAUAGAAACAGUAGAACACCAGGCAUUGUUUGCUAUAUCCAGUAAACAUACUGUUUCACAUAGUCAAAGCAGUAUUUCUAAGAGAAAGAAUUGAGCGAAUGAUGGCAUUGUGGUAGAAAUAGUGCUGCUCAGAGAUUAUGACUUUUCCUUAAUGUCUCAUUUACUGGUCUUGAACUGACUACAGAACUAAACCGAAGGCUAGAAAUUGUAGAAGUCGUAAAGACUACCACAAAUUUGUGUAGGAGUGCAAGCCCAAGAAGAGAACCCGAGGUUAUACCUCAUUUAGAUGAUUUGGAUGUCUCAGAGUUUGUUCAUGCAGCCUGGUCUGGGUGAUAUAUGCCAUGAUGGUGAAUAAUUCCUAUAAACUGCAAAAGGAAAGUGCAGGCAAGUUCCAGACGCUGCUUGCAAUGACAGUGAACUUGAAAGAUGAGAAUCAAGCAAAAGUCAGUUCCUUUUUUAGUAGAGGCUGUACUUCAACAAACAGACAACAUUCUGAAUUAUCCAAAAUUGAUUUUCAUGCUGCUGUUGAGAAACAUAGUGAGGAAGAGCCUAGAACAGCUCAGAUUUCACUGCGACAUGGUCAUGAGUGUUUAGGAAACUUUUUUUGGCCCAUUUGUUGAACCUGCAUUUGAAGACCACAGCCAUCCAUCCAUCCAUCCAUCCAUCCAUCCAUCCAUUCAUCCAUCCAUCUCUUCUGUUAGUAAUAUUGAGGAAAGUGUCUGGUGAUUGACAGGAAACCAUUUUUUUAUAUACGACAAAGAAAAGUUGCAAAACUAACUACAGCUGCUGUGUCCACUGUGAAGAGGUUUCUUUUGCCUUUGACAUCCUUUCUCAAGACAAAAUUUGAUGGUUGGUAUCUGACCAUAAAGCUGUGUGAUGGAUCAGCAACAUUGGAAGU
Molecule: long non-coding RNA, 1694 nt
Organism: Schistocerca piceifrons (Central American locust)
Lineage: Eukaryota; Metazoa; Arthropoda; Insecta; Orthoptera; Acrididae
Exons: 4
Source: RefSeq, a predicted model, not a curated record